RNAcentral lists this non-coding RNA (84 nucleotides) under unclassified sequences. The record is from RNAcentral.
GUAUGCUUGCCACCGGGUAAGUAUAAAAGUGUCAAGAGUACUUCAUUAGGUCUUAGAAGAAGUACUUUUGGCACUUUUUUUUUA